Molecule: ribosomal RNA, 500 nt
Filed under: Enterobacter sp. TAP02
Lineage: Bacteria; Pseudomonadati; Pseudomonadota; Gammaproteobacteria; Enterobacterales; Enterobacteriaceae
Description: partial 16S ribosomal RNA
Rfam family: Bacterial small subunit ribosomal RNA
Source: RNAcentral
GCUGACGCGGCUACCUGCAGUCGAACGGUAACAGGAAGCAGCUUGCUGCUUUGCUGACGAGUGGCGGACGGGUGAGUAAUGUCUGGGAAACUGCCUGAUGGAGGGGGAUAACUACUGGAAACGGUAGCUAAUACCGCAUAACGUCGCAAGACCAAAGAGGGGGACCUUCGGGCCUCUUGCCAUCGGAUGUGCCCAGAUGGGAUUAGCUAGUAGGUGGGGUAACGGCUCACCUAGGCGACGAUCCCUAGCUGGUCUGAGAGGAUGACCAGCCACACUGGAACUGAGACACGGUCCAGACUCCUACGGGGGGGCAGCAGGGGGGAAUAUUGCACAAUGGGCGCAAGCCUGAUGCAGCCAUGCCCGCGGGUUUGAAAAAGGGCCUUCGGGUUGUAAAGUACUUUCGCCGGGGAAGAAGGGGGAAAAGGUAAAAACCCUUGGCAAUGUGCCUUCCCCCCAAAAAAAGCCCGGCUAACUCCUCGCACCCCGGGGGAAAAAAAAGA